CUCAACAUGAAGACAAGGAUGAAGACCUUAACGAUGAUCUGUUUCCAGUUAAUGAAUGAUGAGAGCUGGAAACAUCCAUCAGAGACCAUCCAGUCCAACUACUACUUCAUUCUACACGCUGAGACUCUGAGGUGGGGGGAAUGGCCUCCCGGAGUCACACAGGGCAUUAGUGGCCCAAUCCCAAGUGCUCAGGAGCAGAAACACAAGGUUGUGCCAAGUAAUAAGAAAUUCACAUCUGACUCUGGAAAUUAAAUAGAAGCAUGUUCAUCACCCAAGUUCCCACUUCACCCAGCUGAGCACUGAUUUGGACAUGGCAGUGAUGGCCACUGUUCUCCCACGGACCCGUGGACAUUUUCUAAAGAAACUGUCUUCGCCCUCUAACCCAACAUCCUUUGUUCAAUGGACUGUCCUAAACAGACACAUGUGUAUUGUGACCUCCAUAACCCACUCCCAACACAGGACCACAGGCCAGAGCAUAAUGGCAGCUGACCAGUGACCUAUAAUAUGGGAUGGAAUGAUGAGAUAAGUCAUUAGGAAGAAGAGCAGAGAGUAUUAGGAGCAAAGGCUGAGAUUAGAUGAGGUUCAAAGAGAAUAGGGGAGCCACAACAGGCCAGAACACAAAGAAACCAAAGGUCAUAAGGAGUAGGAACUAUAUGGAGGCAGAAGCAGUGACAGAGAAAAGAAAGACAAAAGUAGAAGAUGAGGAAGCCAGCCAAUAGUAACAACACAUCAGAGCAGACCCACAAACAGUAGCUGAGUCAGGGUCAUGAUGGAAGACCAGAACAAUGGUCCAUGGGCUUGCUUUGGGUCCAAGGAGCUGGAUUGAGCUCAAGACCAUACUCUAUGUCUAGUUCUAUGAGGCCCAGCUCCUAAACGAUGACUUCCCUUUCUCUGAAUUGCUCCAUGUCCAUCCUUUACAAAAGACAACUCAUUUUGCUGAGCCAGCCUAGGCGGGUCUAUGUACCUUACAGCCAACCAACAAAAGCAAGCCAGCAUGCAACCACUUCAAACAGCUUGACUACAGCAGGCAGAGAUCCAGCCUGUGCCUCUACUGCAGAUGGUAUUUUUGAUGCCUUGAUGUAAAGGAAAACUAAGGAAGACAGAUCUUGAGAUAACUGGCCCACAGUCACACAGCAAGUUAAAAGGGCUGAGUUGCAUGCCCAGACUUCCUGACUCCAAAAUCUACACUCUAACCACUGUGCUAGGUGAAAAAGCAAGGCCUUUGUGAACCUGGAAGACAGGAGACAAGACAAAGAGCAUUAAAAAA
Molecule: long non-coding RNA, 1267 nt
Organism: Saimiri boliviensis boliviensis (Bolivian squirrel monkey)
Lineage: Eukaryota; Metazoa; Chordata; Mammalia; Primates; Cebidae
Source: RefSeq, a predicted model, not a curated record